Molecule: long non-coding RNA, 691 nt
Organism: Bubalus bubalis (water buffalo)
Lineage: Eukaryota; Metazoa; Chordata; Mammalia; Artiodactyla; Bovidae
Exons: 3
Source: RefSeq, a predicted model, not a curated record
CCCCAUCCUCGAAGCCCCACCUCCAGCUCGCCCCGCCCCCAGCAGCUGGGGAUUCCUGCCAAGCUCGGGCGGGGGGCGGGCCCCAGAGCCCGCCAGGCAUCUUGGGAACGCAGAGAUGAGGGUCCCCGUGGCUUGAUGGAGGCAGAGGGUCCCCGUGGCUUGAUGGAGGCAGAGAUGGGGGUCCCCGGGGCUCUAUGGAUGGCAGUAGGUGCCCACUAAUGGUGACAAUCCGGACGUCCGCACGCGUCCUGUCCACCGGGGGACUGAAUCACCCCUCACUGAGUGCCCCGGCUGGACAGGGCUGGAGAGAAACCAACAGAUCUGACUGACGGAUGGAUGGAUACAUACGUAGAUAAUGAGAGAUGACAGAUUAAGUAGGUAAGAGUCAUGUCUGGUCAGGGUCUCUGCCCUACCGCCGUCUAGGGCUGGACGAGUCUCUAUGGGGGGCGUCCUGGGCACUGUGGGGUGUGGAACAGCUCUGGUCUCCCCCCACCACAUGCCAGGGGCAGCCCCUGCCCCCAGUGCUAAGAAGCAAAAUGACCCCUGACUAAUUCAUACCACGUAUAUUUAAACUAAUACAUAUCUUUGUGUUCAUGUGACUGUAUAUAAGAACCCGGGUCUCUUGCCUUGCAGGCAGAUUCUUUACCACUGCACCCCCAGGGAAGCCCCUAUAUAUAUAUAUAUAUAUAUG